GGAGAAUGGAGGCUAAAUAGGUAAACUUCUGUGUGACUAGAUUGGUUUUGGUACUUCAGGUUUAUAAUAGUAAAACAGUCCCUUGAAAAUGAAUAUUUAAACUAUAAGUUGAUAUACCCCUCCACAGCCCCAAGAAAAACACUUCUAUUUUUUUUUUAAUUUAAGGUUAAAACAGCUUCCCAAAUUUGUCCACCUGCUGUCUGCAGCCUUUACAAGUCCUCCUCUCUUUCCCUGACACAGACACAGUGAGUGAGUGGAAUAGUUAUCAGAGGCUUCUCAUUGAGAAGGUGAGCAGCUUUCCUAUGUUUCCAAGAAGGGGAG
Molecule: non-coding RNA, 321 nt
Organism: Pelobates cultripes (western spadefoot toad)
Lineage: Eukaryota; Metazoa; Chordata; Amphibia; Anura; Pelobatidae
Source: the annotation of a GenBank genome assembly